RNAcentral lists this ribosomal RNA (402 nucleotides) under uncultured bacterium. RNAcentral's name for it is "bacterial SSU rRNA". It matches the Rfam family "Bacterial small subunit ribosomal RNA", at positions 355 to 774 of the family's 1533-position model. The record is from RNAcentral.
UGGGGAGUAUUGGACAAUGGGCGAAAGCCUGAUCCAGCCAUGCCGCAUGAGUGAAGAAGGCCUUUGGGUUGUAAAGCUCUUUUAGUGAGGAAGAUAAUGACGGUACUCACAGAAGAAGUCCUGGCUAACUCCGUGCCAGCAGCCGCGGUAAUACGGAGAGGGCUAGCGUUAUUCGGAAUUAUUGGGCGUAAAGGGCGCGUAGGCUGGUUAGUAAGUUAAAAGUGAAAUCCCGAGGCUUAACCUUGGAACUGCUUUUAAAACUGCUAACCUAGAGAUUGAAAGAGGAUAGAGGAAUUCCUAGUGUAGAGGUGAAAUUCGUAAAUAUUAGGAGGAACACCGGUGGCGAAGGCGUCUAUCUGGUUCAAAUCUGACGCUGAGGCGCGAAGGCGUGGGGAGCAAACA